AACCUAGCACACCUGCGGUGUGUACCUGCGGAGGGAUCAUUACCGAGUUUACAACUCCCAAACCCCUGUGAACAUACCUAUACGUUGCCUCGGCGGAUCAGCCCGCGCCCUGUAAAAAGGGACGGCCCGCCCGAGGACCCCUAAACUCUGUUUUUAGUGGAACUUCUGAGUAAAACAAACAAAUAAAUCAAAACUUUCAACAAUGGAUCU
This 210-nucleotide unclassified non-coding RNA is filed under the name soil metagenome. Its description in RNAcentral is "partial contains 5.8S ribosomal RNA, internal transcribed spacer 2, and large subunit ribosomal RNA". The record is from RNAcentral.